CCCUCCUCUCAUAGGUACCUACCCCUAUCCCCUCCUCUCAUAGGUACCUACCCCUAUCCCCUCCUCUCACAGGUACUUAUCCCUAUCCCCUGCUCUCAUAGGUACCUACCCCUAUCCCCUCCUCUCACAGGUACUCACCCCUAUCCCCUCCUCUCAUAGGUACUUACCCCUUUCCCCUCCUCUUCUUGUAGGUCUUUCUAAAAACAUUAUUCCCAUGUCCCUUGUUAUAAGUACAAAUAUCCAUUCCAGAUCCACCUAGAGAGAAAUACUACUUAGGUACUUCCAAAUUCUUGGAUCAUAUGUUGUAUUUUGUUAUCAUGUACUAUUCAUUUCUGUUGUGCAUUCUGCAGGUCCAUGACCUCUUUGCUGAGUGAUGACGAAGAGAGAUAUGUCUCCUCACCUGAGGGUGGUGAUAGAGAGAUGAGACACAGACCCCACUCGGCACCACUGAGUUCUGUGUUUGGAAUCUCUGAGGAUUCUGUCUUCAACAUGGUCCAGAGAGGCCAGUCGCAGAGUGGCAUCGUAUUGUCAUCCAGUUGGAGUAGACGGGAGAAAUACAGACCUGUCAAAAUACCAACGGACACCAGGUUUAUGAUGGGUAUUGUAGAGUUGGUUAUGAACCUUCUCAACUCCAGAUUGGCUGAGCUAAUGCGAAGUUUCAGUCAGGGAACUCUAGGUCCGCUGUCUGGUAGUAUCUCAGCAAGUCAGCAGUUUGCCCAAGAAAUGCUAAGCAUGGUGUCUGCUAAGAUGUAUUCCCAUGCCAUAGAGCAUAUUGCGCACGGCUACAAGUCUCCCCUUGAGUUAGAGCGGGAGCUUGAGGCCAUAUUGGGUCCUCUGGCUGGACAGGUUAUAGUCAUCAUCAUAGAUAGCAUCUUUAAGGCUAAAGCCAACGGAGGAAACAAGGGACGAGCGACCAGCCCCUUGACCUAUUUUCUCACUGCCGUUUCGGCAGAAAUACAAAGCCUAGUUGUUCAGAGAUCGGCUAGCAGACCGUCCACCAGACUGUCCAUCAACGACCCACUGCUGAACAUUUCCAAGUCAAAGGUCUUAAGAUCAGUUCUGCUCAAAAUGGCAGAACUCUUUGGCCAAGGUCCAAGUGAAACCUGUCUAGUUCCAGUAGUCCAGAGUCAGUCCGACAACUCUGUUUGCGACUGGACUCUGAAUGCAGGCACCGUUCAUCCAAGUCAAUUUCUGUCCCACAACAGAAUGUCAGAAGUGUCAUCCGAUGUUGUGGAUCUUGUACUUGAGGUUUUUGGGAUAACAGGAUUUUUGGAUAGCAGGAGCCCGUCAAGGCCACAGAGUGCCUGCUCCUACAACUCAGCUAGUGGAGCAAUAGAUAUGAGAGCUCUUGCUGGGGACUUGGUCAGACAGGUGUCUGUCAAACUCAGACCCUUUGUCUCUGAGAGUCAACUCUCCACCAUGUCCAUGACAGAUCUGUCAUCUAUUUCUGACUCCACCUUGAAGCAGUUGUGUUGUAGCUCUGCUGUUGCUGCAGCAACGGUCUGUCAAGCAAUCAAAAUGGAGCUCGAGAACCAGAGACCAACCGACCUGUCAGCCAGAGACCUACUAUCGUCUCUGGUAGAGAGCAUUGAGGACAUGGAUAUUUCUGACAUCCUCCAGGGCCCGUCGGCCAUUUUGGAGGAGGCUGCUAUGAUUAAGCACCCAGAGAUCUCCACCUCGACAAUAUACAGGUCUCUGCUUCUCGACUCAUCUCUCGCCUCCUCUAACAUGGUCACUGAGAGCAUUAUCUUCAACAGCCCACCCCCAUCAGAGGAGAAUGUGAGUAUUCAGAAUGUGCUCCCUGUUGAUAAAGUUGACAUCCUCCAUGGUCAACCAGUGGAGGGGUAUAUUGUCAAAGCUGAGCAAUGCAUCACUCAGGUCAUUCAGGAUGCAGCUGUGACAUAUACUAGCGUGCUGGAUAAAACCGACACUGGGAAACUGUCAGAAGUUCUGUCUGUCUGCUUUUCCGCUAAGAAUAUUGAGGAUGCAUCCUCUGAUCUAUUUGGUGGAAUUAUUUCCGACCUGCAUGAGGUAUCUGAGGUCAAUAAGACCUCCAUGCGUACGAAAUCAGGUCGCAAAAUGUUCUGGAUGGAAGUGAGUUCAGGUUCCCAGAAGAUUUAUACCAAAACCCUGGACAAACUGAGGAAGCUUUUCACCUCUCACCUUCUCACUGAGGGAAAAAAUACUCCUGUGCAAAUUGAGUUAUAUGACACUGGACUACUUGUAACUGAGACCACUGUGGAGGUAUCUCCUGUACAGAAGACAGACAGUAAUACCUCUUCAAUGUCCUCAGCCCACCAGCUCACCCUCGACACCUGCACUAAAGGGGUCAUCAAACAGGUGAUCUCGGUGCUGAGGGUGGAGACUUCAAAGGAAGUCAAAUGCGAGAGCAUGUCAAAUGCAUCCUUCGACUUCAACCAGAAGUUGGACUCUAUAAUUUCGAAAUUGGAGAGCCUCACCAUUUCGAGUGACGAGACGUCAGCCAAGAUUGCCAGGCUCACGCGAUCUCGUAGUGCAGCCAGCAGAUCCUCUAACAUUUCCAUCCAGAGCUUUCACAGUGCUGAGUUCCAAGCUACGGCCAAACUGAUUGUGCGUGAGGCCAUUCUCAGAGCUGCUAGCGAAGCCAACUGUUCUUUGCCACAGAGCAUGACUAGCAGCACCUUCUCACACCAUGUGGUUUCUACAACUGAAGAUAUAGUGAAUAUGAUCAUGCAAGACCUUGAAAGUCUAUCCCGGUACACAGUGGAGGACGCAGACUCCUUCCCACUAGGAGAGAAAAAGCUGCAGUCCCAGCUCAAUCCCAGAGUUGUCUUUGACACCUUAUUGGAUGCUGCUCAAACCAUGUACCACAGAGUAAAGGAUAGACUGAACGUCUUUUUGUCUUUUCCACCCGUGUCAGUCACCACAGCCAAAGAUGUGCUGGACUCCACCCCUGUGGAGACACUCAGAUGCUCAAAGUCCCCUGACACUGCUCUUGUUAAGGACAGGAGCCGCCCUCCGUCUGUGAGAAGUGAGAAGCCAUUUUCAAAAUUCAGUUUGACUAAAAGGUCUAAAGCCCUUGUGUCUUCGAGUGGCUCCUCCACAGACCACCAUGUAAUUGACACAUGCAGUGAGGAUGUCACUCUGCCUACCAGGAGUAUGUCAGUUGUGAGCGACACCAGUUUGAAGAGAACCUCUCCUCUCCAUGGUAGUGGAUUGAGUGCAAGUUGUGAACCUCUUGUGGCUCUACAAGACGGAACAGUGGCAGUCAGCCAAGAAGGCUUUAGCAAAACUGCAAAGGAGACGCUCAGCUUGAUCCUAAAUGUGAUCAAGUGCAGAUUGGCCAACUCUGAGAGUUCAUCUGUUGGGCAGAAUGCAAGGGAGGAGCGUCUGAUAACCACUAACAUGUUAGACUCUCUACUGGAGAGCCUUGACCUGUUGCCUGACAUGAGUGCUGCCAAUGAGAUCACAAGGACAGAAUGCCAUACCUCUAACGCAAUGGACAAGACAGGUUCACAGUCAGCGCUUGUGAAUCAACAAGAAAUAAACAUAUCUGACACCAGUCUCAUAGUGAAAACUAUAAUGGACACAUUGAAGACAGACGACCCAGAGAUGACUUCAGCAGAAGAAAAUCUGGAUAGACUCCUGUCAAUUGAAGCCCUUCAAGAUGCGUCUGGCAACCUGAUCGCAAAGGUCCAUGGUCUCAUUCAGGAGAUAACCAUAAGCCGCCAGCUUCAAUCCACGACUGGCCACAGAAGCCUCUCUCAACCAGCUCUGCCAAAGCCAGCACUGAGGAAGCUGUCAAAGCACGAUGCGUCAGAGCUCGUUUACAGCUUUGCCCAGACUUCUGUUAGCAGACUCCUGGGGCAGUGUUUGGUUAGGCCUAUGCCACCCACCGCUGACAGGGUUUUGGAUCAGGUCAUCAAGUUGAUGACAGACAUGGUGAUGGACAGCCUGACUGAUCUGUCCAAGUCUGCAAUGGAGGAUGGUAAGUGAAAGUACCUCUUCAUCUGCAUAGGACUUCAUUGUAACAUGAUGCUCACUACAUUGCAUUUUAUGAUGUGAACUUUGCUGUUUGCGUCCAAAAUGGCACCUUCUUCCAUAUUUAGUGCACUACUUUUGACCAGAGCCAGACCCUAUGGGCCCAGUUCAAAAGUUGUGCACUAUAAAGGGAAGAGAAGGCCUUUUGGGACACAGUGACUGAUUUCCAUUGUUGCGUCCUCUUCUCCCAGUUAUUGUACCCAGGUCGGUCACACCAGCUUGCUCUUCUUACUCAGACACCAGCAAUGCUGCAAGUGACAUCACUCAUGGUAUUGUGGCUGACCUUAAUGCUACUGAGGAAUUCCCUGCCAGGGGCCUUAGCCCGGCUGAUGUAAAGGCUGACGGCAUGGCCCGCCUUCCCUCUGCCAGGGGGGAAGAGACUAAGAAGAACAGGAAGUGGCAUUUCCUACACAAAAUUGUCAAGAUUCCAAAGAUCAGGAUUAAGCUGUUCAAGACAAAGGGGGAACCAAAGAGCCACCCUGAACAGGAUUCUCUGCCUACCAAACGUCUCAGAGAGACUCGUAUUUCACAGGAUGCUGAGUGUGAGGUUCCAGAGGUUCCAUCCACUUCCCCACCCAAGGAGGACCUGACAACCACACUGGCCCCUGCUCCCCAGGAGUCCCAGUCCCGUAAACGCCCUCUCAUAGUCAGGGUGUUACGAGCUAUCUCCAGAGCCGUCUCCAAACCAUUCAGAGAAGCUUUUGGGAAGAAGAAUUAGCCAAAUGCCAGAUUUUAUUACUAUUUUAAUCAGAGCCUUUAUUUAAUAAAACAUUACUGCAUGGAUUUCUGUCUAUAGUCGUCUUACUGUUUGUGCAAGAUAAUGGUACCACAUUGUCAAACAUAGUUAUAGUGAAGCACUGUUUAUGAUUAUUGAUUGUGGAAAUCACAUUUUAAUACAGAAAAGAUGUCGUCACAUAAAGACAGACAUAUAGGAGAAAACUCUGUCGACUAUUCACAUGAUCAAGACACAACUAAAGCCAUGAAUGGAUCAUAUUAUUAUACCUUUAUUUCAACAAGGAACACAGACUGAGACCAAGGUUUCUUUUACAGCUGGGCCCUGCGUAGAUAUGUUACACAUUCAGUUUAGCUACAAUGAUUAAGAAACUACACAAGACAAACAAGACCAUCACAGAUAACACACAAAUACAGCAGCAGAUUAUUACGUUUGCACACAGGUUAUUCCCCUAACAGCACAAUAACUUGCAUUACCCGAAAGUUACAAGCAAUACAGAAAUAAAAAUCCUCCAAUGAUUAUUUAAAAUGGGCAACAGGGGGACAAGAGUCUCAAAUUUAAGUUUAGUCUGCAGGCUUUUCCAUUGGCAAGGAGCGUAACAGGAAAAGGCAGCCAUACCCAACUCCCAUACCCAUACCCAACUGUGGAAAUCGCAUGGACCUCAAGUGUAAUCCAUGCUUGAGACCUGGUUUUAGGAAUUCUAAUUCUAAUAUUGAUGAGUGAUGAUAAAUAAGAUGGUAGUUUAUUCAGAAGUGCUUCAUAGACAAACACGAGAACAUAUUCUCGUCUCAUGGACAGCGAAGUCCAACCCACAUUUUGAUACAAAACACAGUGGUGAGUUCUGUAGCUAGCGUCCGUAAUAAACCUAAGUACUCAAUGAUAAAUAGCAUCCAGCGAUUUAAGUGUUGAUGCCGUAGCAUGCAUGUAGAUAAUAUCCCCACAAUCUAUAACAGACAUAAAAGUAGCUUGCACAAUUUGUCUUCUAUUUGUACAGGACAAACAUGUCCUGUCUCUAAAGAGGAAGCCUAGCUUGAUUUUUAGCCGUUUAUAAAGUUCGUCAAUAUGCAUUUUAAAAGACAGUUCAUCAUCCAACCAUAUCCCUAAGUAUUUAUAUGCAGAGACCUGAUUCAUUCGAGAACCAUGUAAGCUCUUGUAAGUGCAAGUGUAUUUUCAACCAACUUUUUGAACCUAUUAAAAAUCAUAA
This is a non-coding RNA of Oncorhynchus mykiss (rainbow trout), 5957 nucleotides long. The record is from RefSeq and is a predicted model, not a curated record. NCBI's taxonomy places the organism in Eukaryota, Metazoa, Chordata, Actinopteri, Salmoniformes, Salmonidae.